AGAGCCUUUGCAUCUCUUCCACCAGGACCACACGUGGCUGGUUACAUAUUGUUAUUCGAUUAUCAGCUGAAAUAUCACCUGUGGUAAUUAAUUUGAUGAGUCAACUUGGGUAGGCUACAGUGCUCACUUGCCUGGUCAAAUAAGAGCAAAACCAACUUGCUUGGUCUUCAUUGCCGUGAAGAUAAAUUAGGUGGGAUUAGCAUUUAAGUCAGUAGACUUUGAGUAAAACAUCUCAUCCUCCAUAAUAUGAGCGAGGCUCAUCCAACAGUUGAAGACCUUAAGAGAAAAGACUGAGGUCCCCGAAGAAGAAGAAAUUCUGCCUGCAGACUGAUUUCAGAUGCAGUAGUACAACAUCAAUCCUUCCUUGGGUUUCCAGCCUGCUGGUCUGCCCUGCAGAUUUCAGACUUGCCUGCUCCCACAGUCAUGUUUUGGACCUUUACCUAGCUUCCAACUGCCUUCUUCCACCAACAUUACUGUGCUGACCUAGGAUAAAUGGAAGCUACCAACUGCCAACUGUGCUGUCAGCUGUGUGGCCGGGUCAAAGGUGCUGGCUGAGCUUGCAAAUUCUGAAGGUUUGCCAGCAGUGAAGGUAUUUGCCUUAGAGGGAAAUGAUGCCUUGUACAUAUCUCAUCCCACAGUGCUGCUGAAUGCGUCCAUUUCAGGCAAUGCCCAAUUUGGAGAAAAGAAGAAGUGCAAAAAAAGAUGUUUCUUUGACCUCACCGCAAAUACGUAAAACCACCUGCAGAUCCACAGCCACUCUAAUCUUUGCCUUGGGCACACCCUUUUGCUUUAACAGUAGAGAAGAAACAAGUUUCUGUUCCCUCCGAGUGCUGGGAAGUGGCAUGACAGCUGGUUUCCAUGAGCAGAGCACAUACUCCAACCCUGCAAAGAAAAAACUCCCCACAAUGCUCUUUUAUCUAUUAAACUAAAGGGGGUUUUAUUACACUUUUGUACAUUCAAUACAUUUAUCUAAAUUUUUCUCGCAUUGAAUUAUUGUCAAGAAAAGGCUGUUCUUGCAUAUAUAUAUGUGUGUGUAUAUAUAUAUGUACUUGUGAUCAUGCAUAACUUAAAUGCUAAAUUUCUGAUUUUUUUGGAGAGGAUAACAUUUAGAAAAAAAUCUAUUGACUAAACAAAAAUCAUUUGACACAUGAGGUCAAACCUUAAUUUAGCUGUAGGAAUCAUUGUCGUAUCAAUGUGGAAGUAGAAAUAGCACUAAAAGAAUGUUCUUUUUCUCCUGAAAGAUGCACCCUCUGACCCACUUUGUGACACAUAGUGAGGAGUUCAGUAACUAUAAAUGUUACCGAUGACUCUUAUCCUUGGUUUAACUCUGGGUUCUUCUAAAUGCUUAUGUAGAGUACAAAUUAUCUGCUGAAGAGUAGCCAAGGUUGCCAAGUGAACAGCACUGAAGACGUCAGAAGGGAGUGAAGUUUGGAAGUGAAACAGCAGCCUUUAAAUAGCCCGACAACACACAUCAUGAGAUGACUUCAGUGGAUCUCCCAUCACUACGGAUUGGCUGUAAAGGAAAAAUCCUCUUAAGUGUUUAAUCCAGAAGAUAACUUUUUAUUCAAUUACUACCAGUAUAAUUACUAUACUAUUGUUCAAGAUUUUAUUCGUUCUUCCUUUUUUUGUCCACUUUGUCUUUUCUUCCUCUAGAAAUUCAGAACCUGAAUGAUUUCUCAUUUGAGUCAAUUUUGAUCACUGCAAUCAUUAAAUUAGACAUAAUUUAGAAACUUCUAAUGAAAAAAGAACAUAAUUAAGCCAAAUUAUCAGAAGUUUUAAGGAUUGAAAAUAUUAUCAAACAAUUUUUAAUAGUAUUUUUUCUAAUAAAAAUUCUGAGACAUUGGAUGAAUUAAGAUCUAUUGAUAUGAAAGAAUGCUCAUGUAACUAUGGAAAAGAAAUUAACAUUUAGUUAGUGUUCUAAUAUGCCA
This is a long non-coding RNA of Homo sapiens (human), 1928 nucleotides long. NCBI's taxonomy places the organism in Eukaryota, Metazoa, Chordata, Mammalia, Primates, Hominidae. The record is from Ensembl.